This 372-nucleotide ribosomal RNA is filed under the name uncultured organism. RNAcentral's name for it is "partial 16S ribosomal RNA". It matches the Rfam family "Bacterial small subunit ribosomal RNA", at positions 527 to 896 of the family's 1533-position model. The record is from RNAcentral.
GUAGGUGGCAAGCGUUGUCCGGAAUUAUUGGGCGUAAAGCGCGCGCAGGCGGUUCUUUAAGUCUGAUGUGAAAGCCCACGGCUCAACCGUGGAGGGUCAUUGGAAACUGGAGAACUUGAGUACAGAAGAGGAAAGCGGAAUUCCACGUGUAGCGGUGAAAUGCGUAGAGAUGUAGAGGAACACCAGUGGCGAAGGCGGCUUUCUGGUCUGUAACUGACGCUGAGGCGCGAAAGCGUGGGGAGCAAACAGGGAUUAGAUACCCUGGUAGUCCACGCCGUAAACGAUGAGUGCUAAGUGUUAGGGGGUUUCCGCCCCCUUAGUGCUGCAGCUAACGCAUUAAGCACUCCGCCUGGGAGUACGGCCGCAAGGCUG